RNAcentral lists this ribosomal RNA (1230 nucleotides) under denitrifying bacterium enrichment culture clone NOB_2_H9. RNAcentral describes it as "bacterial SSU rRNA". It matches the Rfam family "Bacterial small subunit ribosomal RNA", at positions 273 to 1504 of the family's 1533-position model. The record is from RNAcentral.
GAUUCCACGGUUAACUGUGUUUCUGAAGAGAGGAUGAUCAGGUCACACCUGGACUGAGAACCGGUUCCAGAUUCUACGGAGGCAGGCAGUGAGGAAUAUAGGCAUGGCUCGAUAGAGUGACCCAGCCAUCGCCGCGUGCAGGACGAAGUAUUCUAUAUCGUAAACUCCUGUGAGAGCAGACGAAAGACAGAUAUAUCUGAUGACUGUAUGCUCAGAGGAAGCCCGGCUAACUACGUGCCAGCAGCCGCGGUAAUACGUAGGGGGCAAGCGUUGUCCUGGAUUCACUGGGUGUAAAGGGCGCGUAGGCGGGAUAGCAAGUCAGUGGUGAAAUCUUGCAGCUCAACUGCAAAACUGCCAUUGAUACUGCUGUUCUUGAAUGUGGAAGAGAGAGGCGGAAUUCCAGGUGUAGUAGUGAAAUACGUAGAUAUCUGGAAGAACACCAAUUGCGAAGGCUGCUUCUUGGUCCAUUAUUGACGCUGAGGCGCGAAAGCGUGGGGAGCAAACAGGAUUAGAUACCCUGGUAGUCCACGCUGUAAACGAUGAGUGCUAGAUGCCGGAUUUUUUCGGUGUCGCAGCUAACGCAUUAAGCACUCCACCUGGGAAGUACGAUCGCAAGGUUGAAACUCAAAGGAAUUGACGGGGGCCCGCACAAGCAGUGGAGCAUGUGGUUUAAUUCGAUGCAACGCGAAGAACCUUACCUAGGUUUGACAUCCCUCGAACCCUCCUGAAAGGGAGGGGUGCCCUUCGGGGAGCGGGGUGACAGGUGCUGCAUGGCUGUCGUCAGCUCGUGCCGUGAGGUGUUGGGUUAAGUCCCGCAACGAGCGCAACCCUUACCAUUAGUUGCCACCGGAGCAAUCCGAGCACUCUAAUGGAACUGCCUACGCAAGUAGUGAGGAAGGUGAGGAUGACGUCAAGUCCGCAUGGCCCUUACGCCUAGGGCUACACACGUGCUACAAUGGCCGCCACAACGGGCAGCAAAAUCGCGAGAUGGAGCGAAUCCCUAAAAAGCGGCCUCAGUUCGGAUUGGAGUCUGCAACUCGACUCCAUGAAGUUGGAAUUGCUAGUAAUCGCGUAUCAGCAUGACGCGGUGAAUACGUUCCCGGGCCUUGUACACACCGCCCGUCAAGCCAUGGAAGCCGGGGGUACCCAAAGAUAGUGACUCAACCGCAAGGAGAGAGCUAUUUAAGGUAAAACUGGUGACUGGGGCUAAGUCGUAACAAGGUAGCCGUA